This 253-nucleotide ribosomal RNA is filed under the name uncultured bacterium. RNAcentral describes it as "partial 16S ribosomal RNA". It matches the Rfam family "Bacterial small subunit ribosomal RNA", at positions 524 to 776 of the family's 1533-position model. The record is from RNAcentral.
UACAGAGGGUGCAAGCGUUAAUCGGAAUUACUGGGCGUAAAGGGCGCGUAGGCGGGUUAAUAAGUUAGAUGUGAAAUCCCUGGGCUUAACCUAGGAACUGCAACUGAUACUGUUAAUCUAGAGUGCUGUAGAGGGUAGUGGAAUUUCCGGUGUAGCGGUGAAAUGCGUAGAUAUCGGAAGGAACACCAGUGGCGAAGGCGGCUACCUGGACAGACACUGACGCUGAGGCGCGAAAGCGUGGGGAGCAAACAGG